Molecule: transfer RNA, 71 nt
Filed under: Camelus ferus (Wild Bactrian camel)
Lineage: Eukaryota; Metazoa; Chordata; Mammalia; Artiodactyla; Camelidae
Rfam family: tRNA
About the family: Transfer RNA (tRNA) molecules are approximately 80 nucleotides in length. Their secondary structure includes four short double-helical elements and three loops (D, anti-codon, and T loops).
Source: Rfam by way of RNAcentral
GCAGAUAUAGCUCAGUAGUAGAGCACAUGCGUAGCAUGCAUGAGGUCCUGGGUUCAAUCCUGGUACCUCCA